CAGGGUUUACACUUUUCCAACUUCAAGUGGCAACCUAAGGCAAAACUACAAUGUUUAACUCGAAUUACAUUCAUGAAAGUAAACAAUCUAGUACUACUUCCGAGCACCUUUGGUCUCAAAUCCUGUAAAAGAAAAUCACAACGUGGAAUGAGCUACACAACCCAGUGAGAUUCCAAGACAUUCUAACAGUUCAAACAAAUCAAGAAAGUUGUGCAUGUCAUAUGCAUGGUUCGAGGUUACACAAUGGCAUGUUAUCAUGAGGUGAUAAUCAUUACUCGGUAAUUGCUACUUUGAAAACACAUGCAGAAGUAGUACUUUUGCUGGUAACCUUACUAUGAGUACAACUCAUAAAUUAUCUAAAAUCACUAACGUAUUUUUGGAAUGAAUGACCAUAUAAAUAUAUUUUCAUGAAUUUUUAGUCAAACAAAUAGUGGCUCGUCUGACUAGAAGAAUAUUACAAGGAUUGCUUCAUCUCAGAGAUUAAUGCUCAUGAGGAGUCUUACCCGAGAAAUGUCAACUAGGAGAGCAAUAACAUUAUUAAUAGCAAAGCAAGCACAAAAGGAUACAGUACUCGGUCCACUUCCCGUCCUUAUAACUCCGAUCGGUAACUCCUUCGGUUGGCUGGCCAUCACCUUAUCCCUCCAGUGGUAGUACUCGAGUAUACCGAAACGGUUGUCCAGGGUUCCAUCCUACCCGACCGAGCCCAGUCCUGGCUCGAGUAGGUCAGUAACCGAGGCAGGGCCCAAGUUCAGCUUAUAGCUUACAACAUGCAUAGGUAAUCAAGUAAUUCGACAAAAAGUAAAAUUUAUCAUUUGAAUAGGUCGAGUGAGGUAAAGUACACACUCGCCUAACAAUGAUGGACAACUUCAUAUAACAUGUGAUUCAUGAUAAUCAGGUAAUCAAGUGGAUACUUAGCACGUAAGCACGUAAGCAAUACAAGUUGAUUUCAUGGGAGCAUGUAAUUCACGGAUAUCGAAUAAUCAUAUAGAUUAGAAAUCAUGUGAGUAAAUAGUCAAGUAAUCAGGUAGUCAUGUGGGUUGGUAAACGGUUCACGGUUAACGGUUAACGGUUGGCGGUUAACGGUUGAGUAAUGACGGUUAUUUGGCAGGCAUUUGCCAUAUUAAUAGGCCAUCAUUGGCCGUUAUCCCAUUUUUACCAUGUGAGAGUCAAGGAGAUUCACUCCAACGACGUAUGCAACCAUAGCAUACCAAGUCAUGUUAUUCGAGCAUUUUCGAGCAUGGGUAUGGUUAAUAUUUAACACAUAGUGCUUAACACUUAGCAAUCAUGAAAUGAGCAUGUCUAAACUUAUUCCAUUACGUAUUCCUAUAUGGAACACUCACCUAGUCAAACAAGCGCAAUAGGUCUCAAACAAGCGUUUUAGGCGUCCGCUCCGAGUUCCUCUUGGAGAUUUCCUCGAUUGCCUGAGCAAACAAUAAUUCAAGUACCACUCAAUAUCACUACGAAUUCUCUAGUUUUCGAUGAAGAUUGUACGCUAGUGCAAUCUAAGAAAUUAACGUGGAAACGAGCCUAAGAAUUCGUGUAACUCGAGGUUCAAAAGUGGGGUUUUAAAACACAAGACAAAUUUGAUUUCCAUCUCUGGAUUCAAAUGUAAAACAAUCAAAUGAUAUUGAAAGAAAUGAAGAGUUCGAAACCCCUUAUUUUCCUUUAAGUUAGAAAAUUCCAGAUUUAACAAGUAAUAUUUGAAAAAUCAUAUCUUACUCUCUACAAGCCCAAAAUUGGAAAACUUGGUACUAUUGGAAACCUUUUUGAAAGUACAAAAAGUUCCUAGAAUACACUUUUCUAAGAUUCCACAUGGAAAACAUUAAAAAAUAAGCUCAAAGUCUCUGCUUUGGUUCAUAAGGCAGAUUUAAGUUGGUUUUUGGCCAACUUUGAAAAUUCAGCAAAAUUCACUUGAUUGGAACUAGCUUUUGAAAUUCGGUACUCUUUUAGAGUUGCAAUCCAAGUUUAUAGUAAAAUAAGCGGAAUGAGAAAUGGAGUUUUGCGCACCAAGUUACGGUAGCUCAAAGUUACUAAAAGUUUCUUGUUAAACAAGGAUUUUCCAAAAUCAAGUCUCGAACUUUGGUAAUUUAUUUGACCCAUGAAACGGUCUCGGAAUAAUACCAUAAUUAGCAGUAUAAUACUACCAUAUAAGGGUUAUUCCUCUGUCAAAUUUCAUAGAAAAAUAUGCACGGAAAGUCACUUAACAAAAUCACUCAAGUUUCCAAAAUUUUAAGGCAAGGCUGCCUUGUGUAUGAAAAUUUCCUUUUCUAAACUUUUGACCAAGAGAAAAUCCUCUAAAUAUGGUUCAUUUGUUGAGACAAAAUCUAAAGAACAUUCAUGGUACCUUUGGUGGGUGUUUAACACCAAGAAAUUUAAUUAUCAAGUCUAAACCAAGCCUUGCAUCAAAUCUGUCGAAAAAUCAGGGUUUUCAAGAGCAGGGCAGGUUCCGUAUUUUGAUCACAAAUCACUCAAACUAACUCAGAAUUGGGCAUAGUUUAAGGCGUUGGAAAAUAAAUUCAUAAAGCUAUAAUUUCACAGAAGAAAUCAUUUUGAAAUUUGGCGCGCAACUAGCUCGAAUUCGAGCCACAAGUUGUAGCUUCAGCAUUUUGUUCUUAUAAAACAGAGAAACAGAACAUCUGACUUAAAAUGGUUGGUUUGGCUCACGUACAUGGAACCAGAAUGUGUAUUUUAUACUGUAGGAAAGGUUGGAAUGUCUAGUUUCAAAUGCCACUAACGGCACUCGAUUUCGACAUCGGAGCUCAAAAUUAUGGCCGAAAUACGAAAGCUGGUCAGAGCAUUUCGGAAAUAGUUCCAGAUUUACUAGCUUUGUGAAAUCGAUUUAUUUGACCAACCAAACCUCAAUAUUUUUCAAUGAAACUUUGUACACCAUAUAUUCAACAUAUCAACAUGAUAUACAAGUCAUGAAACCCUCAAAAUUCUGCAAAAAUGGGUGCGAUUAAAACAGGGCAGAUUCGUUAUCAUCACAUGCAACUCCUCAAUUUGCCCCCUUUUUAAUUUCUGCCACUUAACUCUACUAAAUUAGCACCUAAUCAACACAAGCAGCAUCAAAUCCUGGCUAAUCAGAUUAUCCAAGUCAUUGUGGGAAUUCAUAGAGCCCACUCACCAAAUUUUCCAUUAAAACUCAAAGGAGUCACCAUCGGCUAGGCUGGAAAAAUUGCAGCAAAUAGAUAGUUUGGAAAACGAACUUUUCCCUAAGAAAAUUCAUUACUUUGUUCACUCAAACUCAGCAUGCAUAUGGUGAUUAUUGUGUUAUGAGGUAUAUUGAACCACAAUACGAAAUUUGCAGCCAAGAUUUGAAGAGAAAAACUGGAAAUUCUUUCUUUCCCUCUCUCGGCCAACUCAACAGAUUUCCAGCAAUUAGAUUGGUCAUAAAUCCAACUUUUCCUUCGGUUAAUUCAUGGUAUUAGGUGCUAAAAAUUAACAUGCAAAUACUUAACUAGCUAAUCAAUAUUUCUAGUUCAAAAUCGGAUUCAAACAACAGCCAUAAUCAUCCAAGAAAACCAGAAAUUCUGUUUGCUACCUUCGGAUGAGCUUGCAUGCGGCCAGAUUGUUUUUCAUUCUUAUUUUUUUCUAGCAUAACCGAACCAAGGGGCUGCAUGUAGAGCUUAAUUACCUUGUUCUUAAUUAGUUAAACGCAUCUAUCAGCUCAAACUACUACAAAGAGACAGAAUUAAAUCUGCAUUUUCCAAAUCAGUCCCACGGCAAAUUCCAAUUUCUUCCUAAUCAGAUUUUCUCAUGCUUUGGUUUCAUCAUCCGAGACACAAACACUUCAUGCAUGACCAUAAUUCACUGCAUCUACCACUAAUCAACUCCUUAUAACUCAGAAAUUACCUCAGGUUGCAGCUUAUACACGCGACAAGGUGCUGUCAAUUUUUCCUUCUCUCGGAUGGUUCGAAGUGCAGCCCGUUU
Molecule: long non-coding RNA, 3930 nt
Filed under: Coffea arabica (coffee)
Lineage: Eukaryota; Viridiplantae; Streptophyta; Magnoliopsida; Gentianales; Rubiaceae
Description: long non-coding RNA (CARA_LNC003783)
Source: RNAcentral